GAUGAACGCUGGCGGUAUGCUUAACACAUGCAAGUCGAACGGACUCUUAGGAGUUAGUGGCGGACGGGUGAGUAACGCGUGAGAAUUUGGCUUCAGGUCGGGGACAACAGUUGGAAACGACUGCUAAUACCGGAUGUGCCGGAAGGUGAAAGAUUUAUCGCCUGAAGAUAAGCUCGCGUCUGAUUAGCUAGUUGGUGGUGUAAGGGACUACCAAGGCGACGAUCAGUAGCUGGUCUGAGAGGAUGAUCAGCCACACUGGGACUGAGACACGGCCCAGACUCCUACGGGAGGCAGCAGUGGGGAAUUUUCCGCAAUGGGCGAAAGCCUGACGGAGCAAUACCGCGUGAGGGAGGAAGGCUCUUGGGUCGUAAACCUCUUUUCUCAAGGAAGAAGAAAGUGACGGUACUUGAGGAAUAAGCAUCGGCUAACUCCGUGCCAGCAGCCGCGGUAAUACGGAGGAUGCAAGCGUUAUCCGGAAUGAUUGGGCGUAAAGGGUCUGUAGGUGGUACUGAAAGUCUGCUGUUAAAGAGCAAGGCUCAACCUUGUAAGAGCAGUGGAAACUACAGAACUAGAGUGCGGUAGGGGCAAAAGGAAUUCCUGGUGUAGCGGUGAAAUGCGUAGAUAUCAGGAAGAACACCGGUGGCGAAAGCGUUUUGCUAGACCGCAACUGACACUGAGGGACGAAAGCUAGGGGAGCGAAUGGGAUUAGAUACCCCAGUAGUCCUAGCCGUAAACGAUGGAUACUAGGCGUGGCUUGUAUCGACCCGAGCCGUGCCGGAGCUAACGCGUUAAGUAUCCCGCCUGGGGAGUACGCACGCAAGUGUGAAACUCAAAGGAAUUGACGGGGGCCCGCACAAGCGGCGGAGUAUGUGGUUUAAUUCGAUGCAACGCGAAGAACCUUACCAAGACUUGACAUCCUGCGAAUCUCGGUGAA
RNAcentral lists this ribosomal RNA (934 nucleotides) under Sphaerospermopsis aphanizomenoides UADFA5. Its description in RNAcentral is "bacterial SSU rRNA". It matches the Rfam family "Bacterial small subunit ribosomal RNA", at positions 28 to 1005 of the family's 1533-position model. Lineage: Bacteria; Bacillati; Cyanobacteriota; Cyanophyceae; Nostocales; Aphanizomenonaceae. The record is from RNAcentral.